UACUUUGUUGACUGGAUCUGGCUCA
RNAcentral lists this non-coding RNA (25 nucleotides) under Mus musculus (house mouse). Lineage: Eukaryota; Metazoa; Chordata; Mammalia; Rodentia; Muridae. The record is from RNAcentral.